This 107-nucleotide unclassified non-coding RNA is filed under the name fungal sp. RNAcentral's name for it is "partial internal transcribed spacer region". The record is from RNAcentral. Lineage: Eukaryota; Fungi.
CUUGGUCAACGGCAAGCGGGAGAACCUGGCCGGGCUUCCGGGUGACGCGGUGUCGCUCGAAGUCUGCGAUAUACGCGAUUUCGCACGUAUGCGGGAGCUGCUCGGUG